CGCGUAGGCGGUUUGGCAAGUCUGACGUGAAAUGUACCGGUUCAACCGGGGCGCUGUGUCAGAAACUGCCUUACUUGAGGUCGAGGGAGGAGAGUGGAAUUCCUGGUGUAGCGGUGAAAUGCGUAGAUAUCAGGAGGAACACCCGUGGCGAAGGCGACUCUCUAUCUCGAUUCUGACGCUGAGGCGCGAAAGCUAGGGGAGCAAACAGGAUUAGAUACCCUGGUAGUCC
RNAcentral lists this ribosomal RNA (229 nucleotides) under uncultured bacterium. Its description in RNAcentral is "partial 16S ribosomal RNA". It matches the Rfam family "Bacterial small subunit ribosomal RNA", at positions 568 to 796 of the family's 1533-position model. The record is from RNAcentral.